AAAUACAAAACAGUUAUUUUAAACUGUAAUCAUAUUUCACAAAAUUGCUGUUUUUACUGUAUAUUUAAUCAAACAAAAUCAGCCUUAGUGAGCAUAAGACACUUCUUUCUAAAACAUUAUAAUCUUACUGACCACAAACUUUUCAACGGUAUUGUAUAUAUGCAUUGAUUUGUUUACUAAUGUUUUCUUUCAUUUGUUGUGUACAGAAAAGGAAUCAGUGGAGCUUUAAUCCGCAUUUGUGUUUAGAAAUCUCUUUGGCUCUCUCUUAUUAGUAGGACCUGUUUACAUGGGUCAAAAUAGAAGGGUUCUAUUUUCACCAGCCAACUCUCACUGUCCUCCUCCAUCACAUUCACUCUUUUUUUUUUUUUUUUCCACUCCCCUCCUCCCCUCUCUCCCUCUUUAGAAGUAAAGUUGGCCUCAUAAAAUGUUAAUAAGUGCCAGAGUUACAUAAAAACAGUCUUCUAGAAUAGAAAAAACAGAGGGCAAUGAGGGCAAAGGUAGAAUGAAGAGACAGUUUGUAAUACUCAUAUCCUCUUUAAUUUACAAUAUAAAGCAAAGAAAUAUUUCUUUCUCUUUUUUUCCUUAGCUUCACUCGUUUUCUCAAGUAAACAAGCAAUUCCAUCGUAUUUCCUUAUCUUCUGAGUUACUCUUCACUGCAGAUGGGCUUGUGCUGAUAAAAGUGAAACGCUGUCCUUGUGGAAAUCCCAGACUAAAAGCUUUCAUCAGGAGUCGGUAUCAAUAACGUUUCAUUACUGCCGUGCCAGAAAAAGACAAUCCCAGUCAACCGUUUACUUUUGUCUGCACUUCACAGCUCAAGAAGCCUAUUGUACUGCUGAAUAACAACUAAAGGCUCCUAGAUGUGCUUGCUUCACAGCUUAAUGCAAAUGUAGUGGAGACUAUCGACAUUUAAAAAGAUAAACAUCAUCCGGAAGCUUCACUAGGAUGGAUUCUGGAGGUCUUUUGGAUUUGAAUGUGAAUCCUCAACCACAGGUCUUACAUGGGAAAAUGGAAAAUGUGUUUUGUGUCUCAUCAACAACAGACGCUAAAUGUCAUUUGAAAGCGAGGACCCUUGGGAUAGAGCGAGAGGAGAAGGUUUAUUGUUUCAGCCCGACAGUGGGGGAGCUGAAUCUGGCAUGGUCCAGCCGAUCUGCCGGAGACACAGGGAGGUCCUGUCCUAUCACAAUGAUGUUUGCUCAUGAGGGUGGCCUUAGUGACAGCUGUUUUGGGAGUGGAAGGAACAGAAGACUCCCAGUAUCGGCGGGAGACAAAUAGGGGGUCAGGAAAAUCAGGAAAAUGCGCAGCGGGGUGGCUCACAGCUUGGAAGACUCUCCGCACGGACAUUUAUAUGUACAAGUUCCUGGAAUUCGUAACAAAAUCGCUCCUUUUUUGUGUAUAGCUCCCAGUCUGUGCCAAAAAAUAAAUUCUCUUUCGUCAAACGAGAAGUAAAGAAUUCACUGCAUAUGUUUCCAUGAAACAAACAAAUCUGAAGCCAAUACGAAGGAAGCUUUAGCAAAGCAACACUUAAUCUCCUCACAGCCUUGCAAAUAUGUGAUUUAUCAAGUCAUGGCGAAGAAAUGCAAAGCUGUCAGUAUGCUGUUUGUAAAUGUGAAGCUCAAAUGCCAUAAAUUUGCCAAAGUCUAAUAAGUUUAGGCAACAAGAUGAUGUGUUUGUCUGCCUUUGAAGCCACAGAUUUUCCCCUUCAGUGAGUGAAAAAUGGGCGGUUUGGACUGUGACACUCUGGUUCUGAUUCAGACUUUGAGAAGGCUGAUGAUUUGUGGACCUCAAAGACUGUUGUGAUCUUGAGCAGUGUUACUGAUUCAAAUCGACUCUGUACAUUUGAUAUGAUUAGGCAUGUAAGGGCGCAGUAUAUUUUGGUGGCCUAAUUGUCAGGAUCAGGUUGUUAGCGCUAGCCUGUUCAAACACUGGGGCACUUUACCACAGUAAUACUACACUGGUGUAGAUUGUUUGUGAAGUAAAUGACUUAACUGAGAGAGACUGAGGUUUGCUGUGUGUUGCCAGAGGCUGAUCGUUUCACAUCUGUGUUUGUGUCGAAGGAGUUGAUGCAUGCAGUUUGUGGUCUCUGAGGCUCCAAUACUGAGUGUGUUAACCAAGUUUGUAUGUAUAUCUGUGUGCUUAACCCCCUACACAAAGCACGUCUUUCUCUCUCAUGCUGGAUGAGUAGUUUACUGUUUCUAAAUUCAGCUGGAAUUAUGAACAGAUUAAGUUAAAUGAGAUGAAUGUAAUAUGUGUACAUCAAAAACAGAUCGUUUGUUGUCCCAAUGACUGUCUCUGGAAGUAAAUCUCUUCCAGAAAGCUGCUAGCAAUCAUUGAUAAAUAGAGUAUGGGAAUUAUGGAACCAAUUUGUCUUUAACAGUAGUGAAUGAAAUCAUGGUGUUUUGGACCCUAUUGACUUUUAUUGCAUUGGCAUUCUUCAAAAAACCUUCUUUUGUGUUCUGCUGAAGUUUAUUUUUUUGGGGUAAACUGUACUAUUAAUACUCAAGUAUAAGGAAUAGGUGAAUGCAAGGGAGCAGGAGAGAGGAAUAUAGUUUUAUAGUUAUAGGAUUAUAUUAAAGGGUUAGUUCACCCAAAAAUGAAAAUUCUGUCAUUAAUUUCUCACCCUCAUGUCGUUCCACACCCGUAAGACCUUCGUUCAUCUUCAGAACACAAAUUAAGAUAUUUUUGAUAAAAUCCGAUGGCUCGUGAGGCCUGCAUUGAGAGCAAGUUAACUUAGACUUUCAAAUGCCCAGAAACAUACUAAAAACAUAUUUAAAACAGUUCAUGUGACUACAGUGGUUCAACCUUAAUGUUAUGAAGCGACGAGAAUACUUUUUGUGAAGAUGAACGAA
Ctenopharyngodon idella (grass carp) is the source of this 2846-nucleotide long non-coding RNA. RefSeq lists it as uncharacterized. Lineage: Eukaryota; Metazoa; Chordata; Actinopteri; Cypriniformes; Xenocyprididae. The record is from RefSeq and is a predicted model, not a curated record. The transcript is spliced from 3 exons.